Molecule: long non-coding RNA, 200 nt
Filed under: Phoenix dactylifera (date palm)
Lineage: Eukaryota; Viridiplantae; Streptophyta; Magnoliopsida; Arecales; Arecaceae
Description: long non-coding RNA (PDAC_LNC003882)
Source: RNAcentral
GAGCACCCCAAGAUCGAAGUCUCGCACAAGGAAAUGCGAAAUGCCCCCUCUAAAAACCCUUUCUCUCGGCCAGAGUAGUGCUGCGCGGCCAAAUGCUGCUACUAAACAAACUUUCAUACACAUGGAGAAGGAUUAGUGUGUAACCUAAGUGGGGUCACGGGAAGAACAACCAAUUACAUGAUGACACGAGUUAGACCAUC